AGAGGACACCCUGUCCACAGAGAAACAGACGUCUCACUCAACACAUGUUCCAUCGUUCACCUUUUUAACGGUGGAUUCAAAUUUUUGUAGGUGGUCAAUCGGCCACCGAUGGCGCUUCCAUCGGAUUUGCUUGUGUUUGACGUUUGCACACUACCGCCAUCUGGUUGCCGUUUGACCACACACACUGCAUUUAGCACUGGGCGAUAAUGCUUCCGUGACGACGAUUUUGAUUGCAUUUUGUUCUAAGUGAGACGUCUGUUUCUCUGUGCCCUGUCCCUGGCCCCGAUCAAAAGGAACAGCAGAAGUCGUGAAACUAUGCAGCUCGAAUCACAAGGUUUUCCGCUGUCGGAAGUUCCGUUUUCGUUCGUGCCAGAACUGAAAGAAUUCGACUUGCGUGCUGUGAAAUACUUGCACCCGCCGGCACUCAAACAAGUGCAGUUCCUACUUUUUACCAAUUGUUCCAAUUGUUAUGACCAGCAGAUCCUCGAAAUCCACCCAUCACGGAAACCGCUGGCCGCGACAACUAGCAGCUGCCGUCGAUCUACAAGCCAUGGCACCGCUAGCAGUUGCAGGGCGAUACUACGAAACUCAGCACGGCGAAUGCAAUCAUCGAACAGGUUGGAAAGAAAGCUCAGCUGGUAAUUUGCGACGGGGCUCCCGAUGUGACCGGUCUUCACGACAUCGAUGAAUACAUUCAAUCUCAGCUGCUGCUGGCCGCCCUCAACAUCACAACUCACGUCCUGGCCGAGGGGGGUACAUUCAUUGCGCGAUCAAUUUUCCGCGGACAAGACACCACAUGGAAUGAAUUGUCAUCGGGAAUACCUGGUUUGAUACUGCGAAGUGUUCAACGUGAUGGGCAGCAGGCACGGAUAUUCGGCAACAUGUCGACGGCACCAGCUUUUACUUAAUCAGAUCCGGCUCUUGGUGUUCCCGACUUUAAAUUCAUUACUAUCAUAUUUCAGUCUGCUGAAUGGAGGCUCGAAU
This is a long non-coding RNA of Armigeres subalbatus, 984 nucleotides long. RefSeq lists it as uncharacterized. The transcript is spliced from 3 exons. NCBI's taxonomy places the organism in Eukaryota, Metazoa, Arthropoda, Insecta, Diptera, Culicidae. The record is from RefSeq and is a predicted model, not a curated record.